CGAACGGGUGAGUAACGCGUGAGGAACCUGCCUCAAAGAGGGGGACAACAGUUGGAACGACUGCUAAUACCGCAUAAGCCCACGGCUCGGCAUCGAGCAGAGGGAAAAGGAGCAAUCCGCUUUGAGAUGGCCUCGCGUCCGAUUAGCUGGUUGGUGAGGUAACGGCCCACCAAGGCGACGAUCGGUAGCCGGACUGAGAGGUUGAACGGCCACAUUGGGACUGAGACACGGCCCAG
RNAcentral lists this ribosomal RNA (236 nucleotides) under uncultured bacterium. Its description in RNAcentral is "partial 16S ribosomal RNA". It matches the Rfam family "Bacterial small subunit ribosomal RNA", at positions 99 to 334 of the family's 1533-position model. The record is from RNAcentral.